AUGCACGAGUAUCGCCACACCGAUGAUCUUGGCCAAGACUCGCCGUACUUUAAGGGUGGUUUUGCUUUGUGCCGAGUUAUUAAAAAGAAUGAAACAAGAAAGAGGAUUGCAACUAGUUCGGGUGAUGUUUCUUCUCAAGCAAGUCACCUGAAUAAUGAGAUUGGAUAUUCAAGCCUUGUUGCUUCUACCCAAAAUGUGGCUCCAAUUGUUGAGCUUAACCAUGUUUCAGUACAUACCAAUAUCCCCCUCCUCUGCAGUUAG
Vicia faba (fava bean) is the source of this 261-nucleotide non-coding RNA. Lineage: Eukaryota; Viridiplantae; Streptophyta; Magnoliopsida; Fabales; Fabaceae. The record is from the annotation of a GenBank genome assembly.